UUAUAUAUUUUGUUUAUAUAUUUUAACGUAUAUUAAUAUAUUUAAAUAUAAUUUACGGAUUUCAGAAAUGAAUAUGUAAUUAAAAUAUAAUUAUUUUAUUUCAUUUUGAAUACUUUUAAUGAUUUACGAAAUCAAAAUGUAUAUUUGAAUUUUACGUUAAAACGAUUUCGAAUUACGAAACCACGUUCUAUUGAAAUUAGAAAGCAAUACUAAACAUUGUGGAUUCAUCAACCUAAAUACUACUCCUAGCCCAAUUGGGCAAAGCCCAAACCAAUAAACCCAACUAAAUACUCCCUCCUCUUCUCUACUCUUACGUGAAACCAAAAGAAGAAAAAAAAAAAAAAAAAAAGAGAAACCCUCCUUCAAUUCACGCACAACUCAGCCAUCUCUCCUUCCUCCCCUCCACGCCGUCGCCCACUGCCGGACCACCACCUGCACCGACGACCACCGUCGACCCUCGUGCACCACCUUUGCGCCUAGCCGCGCCGCUGAGCCACCGCCUUCGCCGCCGCCUCCGCGAGUCUCUUCGCCACCCGCACAACACCACCUUCGUCAGCUCAAUCGACCGUCGCUGCCGCGCCGCAAAGUCUACCGCCGGCCAGCCUCCUCCUCAUUCUCUCCUUGUGGUGGAGAAUUCUCCGUAGGCGACUUUUGAAUUAUUAAAGUGGUCUUGCAGUUUGUUUACACAAG
Molecule: long non-coding RNA, 690 nt
Organism: Spinacia oleracea (spinach)
Lineage: Eukaryota; Viridiplantae; Streptophyta; Magnoliopsida; Caryophyllales; Amaranthaceae
Exons: 4
Source: RefSeq, a predicted model, not a curated record